GCGCCUGUAGCUCAGUUGGAUAGAGCAACGGACUUCUAAUCCGUAGGCCACAGGUUCGAAUCCUGUCAGGCGUA
Non-coding RNA from Desulfitibacter sp. BRH_c19, 74 nucleotides. The record is from Rfam. Lineage: Bacteria; Bacillati; Bacillota; Clostridia; Neomoorellales; Desulfitibacteraceae.